This 598-nucleotide ribosomal RNA is filed under the name uncultured fungus. RNAcentral describes it as "eukaryotic LSU rRNA". The stretch from base 249 to 403 matches the Rfam family "5.8S ribosomal RNA". Lineage: Eukaryota; Fungi. The record is from RNAcentral.
AAGUCGUAACAAGGUCUCCGUAGGGUGAGUUUUGAACGACUUCUAACUAAUAUUGAAUGAAUGCUAACAGAUUUCCAGUGAACCUGCGGAGGGAUCAUUACUGAGUGAGGGUCUCUGACCCGACCUCCAACCCUUUGUGAUUUAAACCUCUGUUGCCUCGGGGCGACCCGGACCCGCGUCUAGGGCCCCCGACGGACCAUUUCAAAACACUGCAUCUUUGCGUCGGAUUGAAUAAAGUAAAUGAUUAAAACUUUCAACAACGGAUCUCUUGGUUCUGGCAUCGAUGAAGAACGCAGCGAAAUGCGAUAAGUAAUGUGAAUUGCAGAAGUUCAGUGAAUCAUCGAAUCUUUGAACGCACAUUGCGCCCUUUGGCAUUCCGAAGGGCAUGCCUGUUCGAGCGUCAUUACACCAAUCAAGCCUGGCUUGGUAUUGGGCGACGGGGCCGUCACACGCCCCGCGCCCCAAUGACCCCCGGCGGGACGGACCGAAUCUCAGCGUUGUGAAUCCAAAGCCGCUGGCGAGACGGGACGGCCGUGCCGUUAAACAACCCCAUCACAAGGUUGACCUCGGAUCAGGUAGGGAUACCCGCUGAACUUAA